GUUUAAGCAUAUCACUAAGCGGAGGAAAAGAAACUAACGAGGAUUUCCUUAGUAACGGCGAGCGAACCGGAAGU
This 74-nucleotide ribosomal RNA is filed under the name Frullania asagrayana. Its description in RNAcentral is "partial 26S ribosomal RNA". It matches the Rfam family "Eukaryotic large subunit ribosomal RNA", at positions 32 to 103 of the family's 3401-position model. The record is from RNAcentral. Lineage: Eukaryota; Viridiplantae; Streptophyta; Jungermanniopsida; Porellales; Frullaniaceae.